This 253-nucleotide ribosomal RNA is filed under the name uncultured bacterium. RNAcentral's name for it is "partial 16S ribosomal RNA". It matches the Rfam family "Bacterial small subunit ribosomal RNA", at positions 524 to 776 of the family's 1533-position model. The record is from RNAcentral.
UACGUAGGGGGCAAGCGUUGUCCGGAUUUAUUGGGCGUAAAGAGCGUGUAGGCGGCUAGAUAGGUCCGUUGUGAAAACUCGAGGCUCAACCUCGAGACGUCGAUGGAAACCAUCUGGCUAGAGUCCGGAAGAGGAGAGUGGAAUUCCUGGUGUAGCGGUGAAAUGCGCAGAUAUCAGGAAGAACACCGGUGGCGAAGGCGGCUUUCUGGUACGUAACUGACGCUGAGACGCGAAAGCGUGGGGAGCAAACAGG